UACGUAGGGUGCAAGCGUUAAUCGGAAUUACUGGGCGUAAAGCGUGCGCAGGCGGUUUUGUAAGACAGUGGUGAAAUCCCCGGGCUCAACCUGGGAACUGCAUCUGUGACUGCAUUGCUGGAGUGCGGCAGAGGGGGAUGGAAUUCCGCGUGUAGCAGUGAAAUGCGUAGAUAUGCGGAGGAACACCGAUGGCGAAGGCAAUCCCCUGGGCCUGUACUGACGCUCAUGCACGAAAGCGUGGGGAGCAAACAGG
RNAcentral lists this ribosomal RNA (253 nucleotides) under uncultured Hylemonella sp. RNAcentral describes it as "partial 16S ribosomal RNA". It matches the Rfam family "Bacterial small subunit ribosomal RNA", at positions 524 to 776 of the family's 1533-position model. Lineage: Bacteria; Pseudomonadati; Pseudomonadota; Betaproteobacteria; Burkholderiales; Comamonadaceae. The record is from RNAcentral.